This 71-nucleotide transfer RNA is filed under the name Loxodonta africana (African savanna elephant). It matches the Rfam family "tRNA". Rfam says of the family: Transfer RNA (tRNA) molecules are approximately 80 nucleotides in length. Their secondary structure includes four short double-helical elements and three loops (D, anti-codon, and T loops). The record is from Rfam by way of RNAcentral. Lineage: Eukaryota; Metazoa; Chordata; Mammalia; Proboscidea; Elephantidae.
GCAGUGGUGGUUCAGUGGUAGGAUUCUUGCCUUCCAUGCAGGAGAACCAGUUUCGAUUUCCAGCCAAUGCU